UGGGCUUACAAGCAAUUCCUAGCAUCA
This 27-nucleotide non-coding RNA is filed under the name Rattus norvegicus (Norway rat). Lineage: Eukaryota; Metazoa; Chordata; Mammalia; Rodentia; Muridae. The record is from RNAcentral.